GUGGUUGUAGCUCAGCUGGUUAGAGCGUCGGAUUGUGGUUCCGAAGGUCGCGGGUUCGAACCCCGUUAAUCACCCA
Molecule: transfer RNA, 76 nt
Filed under: Flaviaestuariibacter flavus
Lineage: Bacteria; Pseudomonadati; Bacteroidota; Chitinophagia; Chitinophagales; Chitinophagaceae
Description: Flaviaesturariibacter sp. 17J68-12 tRNA-His
Rfam family: tRNA
About the family: Transfer RNA (tRNA) molecules are approximately 80 nucleotides in length.
Source: RNAcentral